Non-coding RNA from Myotis davidii, 73 nucleotides. Lineage: Eukaryota; Metazoa; Chordata; Mammalia; Chiroptera; Vespertilionidae. The record is from Rfam.
GCCGGUGUGGCUCAGUGGCCAGAGCGCCGGCCUGCGGACUGAAGGGUCCUGGGUUCAAUUCCCAUCAAGGGCA